Neopelma chrysocephalum (saffron-crested tyrant-manakin) is the source of this 1527-nucleotide long non-coding RNA. RefSeq lists it as uncharacterized. The record is from RefSeq and is a predicted model, not a curated record. NCBI's taxonomy places the organism in Eukaryota, Metazoa, Chordata, Aves, Passeriformes, Pipridae. The transcript has 3 exons.
CUCUCUGGGGCAAUUCCCUCCUCCCAAAAACCAUUACCUGCCUAUCCCUGCCUGCUCCACGGUCCGCCCUCCUCUCCCGGGCCACCCCUCCAGGAGGUGGUGUCACCUUUGGAUGGGUCUCAGGGGGGUAGGGAUGGGCACCUGGAACAGAACGCUGGAUGCAGCCGAGCAUCACUCAGGGCUGGGGGCUGCCAUGGGGACCUCGUGUAAGAGAGGGUCCCCUCGGUGUGGCACGGUGCCCUGGACACCAUCCCGGCCUUGAGCGACUGGCAGCACCUCCCGGACCCCUCCUGCUGCAUUUUGGCCUCGUCAAGGCCGUUUUUGUGGGGCAGUGUGGCCACCUGGCUGCGGGAGCAGCGGGACCGGCAUCCCCCGGGGCUCCCCGGGGCUCCCCGGAGCGGGGGGUCGAGUGUCUUUGCUUUAUUUGUUUAAUUAAAACCAAGGCAAGUAGGGCGGCCCAGGGGGCCCAGCCGUCGGGAGCCGGCACCCUCCACAAAGUGAUUCCUCGGGGAAGCCCGGUGGCCGAGCGGGACCACGGGACAGCCGGGUCUCGGGCUUUCCCAGCAGCAGGACCACCCUGGAGGACUCGGCCACGCCGGGGCCCCUCCUCCGGUCCCCCGGGGUCGCUCCCGGCCAUCCCCGGGGCAAAACAUCUCCCGUGCGGCGCCUUUUUAGCCGCGGAGGGUCCUUGCGCUCUGGAUGAGCCUCGUCCCUCGGUGCCAAGGGCAGCCUGGGCGCCUGUUUUCCCCCGGUGAAGACAUGGCCCCUUCCUCCUCCUCCUCCUCCUCGCGGGCCGGGGCUCCAGGAGGCAGGAGCCGGCUCCGUCGGCUCCGCGCGUAAGGAAGCGUCCGCCCGGGAAUCCGCCACGGUGUCGGCACCCAGGCUCCCUCCCUCCCCCGGUGCUGGAGCUGCUCUGAGCCCAGAAGCCCCUUCCCAUCCCCAAACGGGCCUUCCCGCCUCGCUUCCUCCCUCAGACGUAGGAGACUGUCAGGUUACGGCCUCCGGGGGGGGCUGGGGCAGGGCCCCCCUCGCUGCUGGCUCCAGGAGGGAUGCUCCUCUCCUCCCCGGCACAGAGGGAUGCUGGGGGGGGCUGGUGCCGCUUGCUGCUGGUUCCCACUCCCCAAACCACCACCCCGCGGGGAGGGGGAGCGAGGGGGAAACAAAUGGGAUGUGGAGCAUCUCGGGGGCUCGAGGGGUGCUGAGACAUCGGCGACAGGGACCCCGGGAAGGUGGUGGGAUGGGAGGUCAACUCAGCCAGCGAGGGGUGAUCCCGAACCCCUCCACUGCCAUUCCCAGACUGGACACCCCCAGGAACCCACGCAAAGCCCACCCUCAUCCUCCCAGAGCCAGCCCCGCGCCUCCUCCUCCUCCUCCUCCUCCUCUUCCUCCCCGCAGAGCCGCUCGCCCCGGGCUGCCGAGGGGGCUCCCGGGGUGUCCCCCUCGCUGCUGCUUCCCCGGCUGCCGCUCCGCAUGACCCCCCCACCCCGCGCCCCCCUCCGCCCCCGCGCCCCCAUCGCUCCCCCCCUU